Molecule: ribosomal RNA, 253 nt
Filed under: uncultured bacterium
Lineage: Bacteria
Description: partial 16S ribosomal RNA
Rfam family: Bacterial small subunit ribosomal RNA
Source: RNAcentral
UACGGGGGGUGCGAGCGUUGUCCGGAAUCACUGGGCGUAAAGGGCGCGUAGGUGGUCUGCUAAGGGUGUGGUGAAAGCCCGGGGCUCAACCCCGGGUCGGCCGUGCCGACUGUUAGACUAGAGUGCUGUAAGGGCAGGCGGAAUUCCGGGUGUAGCGGUGGAAUGCGUAGAGAUCCGGAGGAAGACCGGUGGCGAAGGCGGCCUGCUGGGCAGAUACUGACACUGAGGCGCGAAAGCGUGGGGAGCAAACAGG